UAAAAUACAGGGAAAUGGGGCAAAGCUACCCAACAUACAACAAAGGCCUAUUAAAAGAGAUAGAAAGAAAUACAUCAGAAAAAGUCAAUGGUGUCGAUGUCCACAUCAUCGAUGCUGUUCACCUGAUGUAACUCCUCCUGAGUCACUGGAUCUCUAUUUACAGGGAUGUCAGACCUAUACAAAGGAGGAUCUGUGCCGACAAAACCAAAUGGGUCAUCCGAGGGACCAGCGCCAGAGCUGGAAGGAUCAAAAGUAUCUACCUCUACAGGAUCUCUGCCCAAAUGCCGAAUGAAAAGAUGUGACCAGUCCAACUACCGAGUUAAUCUCUCAAUCUGUGUCACGUGAGUCAGAUCUCUGACACAGG
This 364-nucleotide long non-coding RNA is filed under the name Panax ginseng (ginseng). RNAcentral describes it as "long non-coding RNA (PGIN_LNC006227)". The record is from RNAcentral. Lineage: Eukaryota; Viridiplantae; Streptophyta; Magnoliopsida; Apiales; Araliaceae.